UUCGCAGGGGGCUAGCGUUGCUCGGAAUUACUGGGCGUAAAGGGCGCGUAGGCGGCGUGUCAAGUCAGGCGUGAAAGCCCCGGGCUCAACCUGGGAACCGCGCUUGAGACUGGCAUGCUCGAGUUCGGGAGAGGAUGGUGGAAUUCCCAGUGUAGAGGUGAAAUUCGUAGAUAUUGGGAAGAACACCGAUGGCGAAGGCAGCCAUCUGGACCGACACUGACGCUGAGGCGCGAAAGCGUGGGGAGCAAACAGG
This 253-nucleotide ribosomal RNA is filed under the name uncultured bacterium. RNAcentral describes it as "partial 16S ribosomal RNA". It matches the Rfam family "Bacterial small subunit ribosomal RNA", at positions 524 to 776 of the family's 1533-position model. The record is from RNAcentral.